Long non-coding RNA from Alexandromys fortis (reed vole), 1192 nucleotides. RefSeq lists it as uncharacterized. The transcript has 3 exons. NCBI's taxonomy places the organism in Eukaryota, Metazoa, Chordata, Mammalia, Rodentia, Cricetidae. The record is from RefSeq and is a predicted model, not a curated record.
ACGGGGGAAGAAUGCCAGCAUGGAAGGAGAGCGCUCCGCAAUUAGGAAAGCAAGAGUAUCUCUGGUUGGUUGACUGGGGAGAGUGGGAGUAAUUGCUUGUCAUUGCCUUCCUAUGAGUUUUAUGAACCUGUUUGCAAAAUACUUGGUUUCCUUGGACUCUUUGUUCUCCUCCAUAUCCAUAACCCCUUGUGGCCUCUCCAGGCUAGUUCUGUCUCUGUUCAUUUGUGUUCUGAACGGCUAUGUAACCCACAUGUGUGACGGCCUCCUUAGGGACACCCUGGGAUCAUUACCAGCCUAUCCUAAGCGAUACUAAUCACUUGAUUGUCAGCUUCUAUUUGAUGGGGCAGGGGGCAGGACACUGGCAGACUUCAAAGCUGCCUGUCUGCGCUGACUUCCGGUAGUUUAGUGUGAGAAGUGAGAUGGCCCUGACUACUUUUCUAUUUUGGUUAAGGUACAUAUUUGAUGAAAUUCAUGAAUGUGGAUUGCUAUCUCUCCCCCACUCAUUUAGUCAAUAAAUAUCUUAGGUCUGGGGUACAGCAAACACAACUGAUGGAGCCUUUGUUCUAAUGGACCGUACCUUCUGAUGGGAGCCACACAAUGCACAUGUGUAAGUGUAUGUCCAGUACUGUGUUCUAUGAAGGACAGUGCAAGCGCAGAGGAAGAGGGAGGGAGGGAUGCAUUCUCGUGAUCAGGGAGUCAGUAGCUAAGAUCUUAAAGGAGUUGGGGAUUGAGAGGGAGAAAAUGGGAACAGCUCCUUCAGACAGAAGCCAGAGUCUGUCUGGUGGGUUAAAGGGGCAUCAAGAUGGUGGCACAUGAAGCAAAGGAGCAUGGGAGGAGCUGAGGUCACAGAUGGCACAUGGAGCAAAGGAGCAUGGGAGGAGCUGAGGUCACAAAUGGCACAUGGAGCAAAGGAGCAUGGGAGGAGCUGAGGUCACAAAUGGCACAUGGAGCAAAGGAGCAUGGGAAGAGCUGAGGUCACAAAUGGCACAUGGAGCAAAGGAGCAUGGGAGGAGCUGAGGUCACAAACAGCACAUGGAGCAAAGGAGUAUGAAAAGAGAUGAAACCACAAAAUUGGCUCCUAUUUUAUCACCUAGGACUUCCUAAACCCUGGGAAAGAAUAUGGGUCCUUCUGGAGCUUGUUGAACAUUGGCCUGAAUUUAUUUUUAUCAUACACACACACACACACACACAC